Molecule: ribosomal RNA, 253 nt
Filed under: uncultured bacterium
Lineage: Bacteria
Description: partial 16S ribosomal RNA
Rfam family: Bacterial small subunit ribosomal RNA
Source: RNAcentral
UACGGAGGGGGCUAGCGUUGUUCGGAAUUACUGGGCGUAAAGCGCGCGUAGGCGGACCUGCAAGUCGGGGGUGAAAGCCCGAGGCUCAACCUCGGAACUGCCUUCGAUACUGCGGGUCUCGAGUCCGGGAGAGGUGAGUGGAAUUCCCAGUGUAGCGGUGAAAUGCGUAGAUAUUGGGAGGAACACCAGUGGCGAAGGCGGCUCACUGGACCGGAACUGACGCUGAGGCGCGAAAGCGUGGGGAGCAAACGGG